RNAcentral lists this ribosomal RNA (253 nucleotides) under uncultured bacterium. Its description in RNAcentral is "partial 16S ribosomal RNA". It matches the Rfam family "Bacterial small subunit ribosomal RNA", at positions 524 to 776 of the family's 1533-position model. The record is from RNAcentral.
UACGUAGGGGGCAAGCGUUAUCCGGAUUUAUUGGGCGUAAAGAGCUCGUAGGCGGCUGAUCGCGUCGGUUGUGAAAGCUCAGGGCUCAACCCUGAGACGCCAAUCGAUACGGAUCGGCUAGAGGUAGGUAGGGGAAAGUGGAAUUCCGGGUGUAGCGGUGGAAUGCGUAGAGAUCCGGAAGAACACCGGAGGCGAAGGCGGCUUGCUGGGCUCUGUCUGACGCUGAGGCGCGAAAGCGUGGGGAGCGAACAGG